CACACUGAGGAUUGACAGGUAUUAUAUAGCGCGCUUGCGCGUCUAUUGUUAAAUAUGCUAGUCCUUUCAUGAUUAUGUGAUAGGUGGUGCAUGGCCGUUCUUAGUUCGUGGAGUGAUCUGUCUGCUUAAUUGCGUUUCAGAUAAGGAUCUAUAUUCUUUACAGAAGUGUUGCGUUGUGCAUUUGACCCCUCGUUCGCGAGUGCGUGUCUUUUCGCGCUCGCACGCUUUUUACAUUAGGUCCUGAAAGCAACGAACGUGACCGCAACCUCUUGUUGCCUCAUCUCCCUACUUUUUAGCACUUCGGUGUUAAUAAUUUCAUUGAGGCUUUCCAAAACUAGAGGGACCGCUGUCAACUUCUUAAACCAGAGGAAGGUUGCGGCAAUAACAGGUCUGUGAUGCCCUUAGAUGUUCCGGGCUGCACACGUGCUACAAUGAUUGUUGCAGUGAGCAUCUCAAUUUUUUACCUAACACCGCACACGUGAGUGCAUACUUGUAUGUUACUUUACGCAGCGGUAAAGCCUGCUUCGAGAGCAAGUGGGUAAUCAAUUAGAAGUAACGAUUUCCCAAAUUAGCACACUUAUAUGCGGCGUUUGCGCCCGGGUGCCACUUGUUGGUACUUCUGUGCGUGCAGAUG
Molecule: ribosomal RNA, 634 nt
Filed under: Globigerinita glutinata
Lineage: Eukaryota; Foraminifera; Rotaliida; Globigerinitidae
Description: SSU rRNA
Rfam family: Eukaryotic small subunit ribosomal RNA (bases 1-430)
Source: RNAcentral